CAUGUAGGGCGCAAGCGUUGUCCGGAAUUAUUGGGCGUAAAGGGUGCGUAGGCGGCGCGGUAAGUCGGGUGUGAAAUCUCGGGGCUUAACUCCGAAACUGCAUUCGAUACUGCCGUGCUUGAGGACUGGAGAGGAGACUGGAAUUUACGGUGUAGCGGUGAAAUGCGUAGAUAUCAUGAGGAAUACCAGAGGCGAAGGCGGCUACCUGGACAAUUGCUGACGCUCAGGCACGAAAGCGUGGGGAGCAAAAGGG
Molecule: ribosomal RNA, 253 nt
Filed under: uncultured bacterium
Lineage: Bacteria
Description: partial 16S ribosomal RNA
Rfam family: Bacterial small subunit ribosomal RNA
Source: RNAcentral